Molecule: long non-coding RNA, 4636 nt
Filed under: Zea mays
Lineage: Eukaryota; Viridiplantae; Streptophyta; Magnoliopsida; Poales; Poaceae
Description: long non-coding RNA (ZMAY_LNC000134)
Source: RNAcentral
UGUACAAAAUAAAUAAUUACAUUAUAAGUAGACAACGGUCCAGCACCCAAAGUUGACUCAGAAACGACGACCUAAACCUCUCACGAACACAUCGCAGCAUCCUCCACGCGCCUCAUCCGGUGGUACCUGUUCUUGACCUGUGGGGGGUGUGAGACAGCAAGAGUGAGCUCACAUACGUUCAUCGCUCAACAAGUUGUGGGGAAUAAUGUGCAUGAACUCGCCAAAGGUGGGAGCUCAUGUGAAGUGUAAGGCUUACCAAAGAGGAUGGUUAGAGCUGAGCAUUGCUUUUAAAGUUGGUCAAAAUUUUAUUAGCAAUUACUAAGUAUAAGUAAAUACCAACCCAAUUAAGUAGUAGAACAAAAGUAACAAUCUCACCUGCGAUGCAAUGCAUAUGACAAAUUGAGUUUAAGUUCCAUAAUUUAAUCAUGUGAGUGUCCGAGCCGCUCAUGACCGUGAGCACGGCUAGUAUACCAGUUUUACACUCUGCAGAGGUUGCGCAUCUUUACCCACAAGUCGUGUUACCCAUUUGCCACGGAGUUGAUCAGACUCCAUACACCUCUACCAAGGAAGCGAGGCAGGGUACUACUACGAGGCCUUUACAAAGUUCCACUAGCUUCAGACUACCCGCUACAGUUUAUAGGAAGCUCCAGUGCAGGGUUCUUGUCUGACCGCCAUCGCAGCAAAAUCAACCCAAGGACCUCCCUACACUGACCACUCCCCUACUGCCCUUGCCCCUUUCGGGUAAGGUAGCCCUCCACUAGCUUUCCUAGUUAAUCAGCCAAGGGCGUCCCAUUAAACCCUUAUGGUAGCACUGUUUUCCCGGGUGGUUCUCCAUGUUCCCAUUAACAUAAUGAUCUUAACAUGAACAGUAAAGAAUAAAACAGAUAAUAGGAAGUAUAACAAUGAGUGAUGAAUAUCUCUAUACCCAAAUCCACAUAAAGCAAUAGCAUGAACUACCCAAAACUUUAGUAGUAAAACCAGGGGUGAAACAAGGUAUAAAGAUAGUCAAAAUCUAGGGUAUCCUAUUGGGUCCCAUCAAAAUUAACCUAUGCAGAUCAUUAUGAUUAAUAAGAACAUGAAUGGGUAAAAGAAGUGAUCAAGGGCACAACUUGCCUUCCACGAGCUCCUGCUCAGCAGUCUCUACUUGUUGAACCUUAGAUUCCACAGUGACUUGCUCGUCUACUCGCAUCAACACAAUACAUACAUAGUAUAGCAUAAAUUAACAUCACACCAAACAUGUAAAUAAAAUAUACAGUAAAAAUCUACACAUUAAAAUGAGAUCAUAGGAACUGGAAUCAUUAAAUUUGGAGCAACAGAUUUUAAGAUAUGAAUUUCUGAAGAUUUUAUGUAUUUAAUAUAGGGUUAAGUGAGAAAUAAAUUUUAAUGUGUAUUUCAGGUAAAAACAGUGGUACUAUUUGAUAGAGAAUAAUAUUACAAAAUUAUAGGAACUGAAAUGGUCCAAUUUGGAGUUCAUAUGGAUUUUCUACAAAUUAAACAAGUUCUAGUAAUUAUUUUUGUAUUAAAAAUGCAUUUCUGAUUUAUUUUCUCUGUUUUUCGAGUUUUCUGAACUGCGCCUCAAUUCCCAGAAAGGUCAGGGGGUCUAGCGCAAGAUUUUCACAGACACAGACUACUAUACAUUAGACUGCGGGUUGAUUUAUCAAUACUGGAAGGGCUCUUUUGCUAAUACGUUUCGUGAAGGGGUAUCGACCAACACGGGCCACCCGAUCGAGUCUGGACGGACGCGAUUAGAUCCCCAUCGAAUCAAACGGGUACGCAAUGCUGAUCCUCGGAUCUAGAUCCGAUGGCCAAUAUCCUACGAUCCCGAGAUCCGACCCUAACCCUCCGAUCACGAUCCUACUGCCGAGAUGAAUUUAGCGAAAAGGGCCGCGUGUCGCCUAAUCUCCACCGCUCAUCCUUGAAUCUACGGCUAGGGAACUUCUUCCCCGACCGAGGUCGAGCGGCAAAAAGGCCCAGGUCGCUCGUGGAGGCGCGCUCGCCGGUGACUGGCGUCACCCUCCCUGGUGACCAAUCCAUGGAUUGGACUGGCACAAAGCGGUAAAUAGGACUGGGCGAAAGUGUACGGCGUGUCAUACCUAUGGCUUGCGCAGACGUCGAGGCUGGUCACGGCACAGGGCGGGUAUGCGGCCGAGCGCCAACUCCGGCGAGGAAUCAACAGGCACCAAACGACUCCAAUCGUUCGAGACUGUCGCCAACACGCGCAGAUGGCGAUAUCAAUCUUCACCCGAACUCGAGCAGAAAGUAGAGGCGCAGAUGGUAGUGUAAUCGGAUUUGGCAAGUGGUAGUUUCAUGGGUCGCGGCGGCGCGUUGCCGUGCAUGAUGGGAAAGGGUCAAAGGGGCGAGUUCCAGGAAUAUAUAGCGCAGAACUCAAUGGAACAGGCAGGGAUCAUUCGGGUCGCAACUGAAUCGCUACGGAUGCGGUGGGAGGUCCGCGCCGAGGAGGUAGCCGGGAGGUGCGGAAUCCGUUGCCGCAUCCGCGAUUCUGGCGAGGAAGACGACUAUGGUGCCAUGGGCCCACCAGUCGGUUGGCGUGAGCGUGAAUAGCGGGCGGUGGCCGACAGCCGGGUCCCGCGCACAAGUGAGUCCGGCCGUGGCGACGUUGGCUGGCGAGGAGAGAAUGUGUAGUGGGCCAAAAUGGUUAGGGGCUGGCCCAAAUAGUGUUUUUGACCUUUUCUUUUUAUUUUCCCACCUUCCUUUCUUCAUUUUAAACUUCACUUUAAAUUCAAAUUUAAUUAAAACUUUUUUUUGUGGUUCUUCCUUACAAAUUAGAUUUGUGAAAUUAGGGUAUUAACCCUGGAGUUAUUUAUUUAUGUAUAUUAUUUACCUAUUCAUCUCCUUUAUCUUUUCUGCACAAUUCUAGAAUUUCCUUUUAAACUUUAAAUUCCCAUUUAGAUAUUAAUACAUUUUUUACUCUAUUUUUAUAUCAUCACAAAAUGCACACAAAAUAAAGCCUCGGCAUGAUGCACAAUUUAAUUACUUUUACCAAUCCUUUGUUUUUAAAUGAGGUGUUCACAUGGGAUGAUAAUUAGAGACACACACAUAUAUAAAGGAAACAAUUUCUCCUUUUAUUCUUCCUUACAAUUUGGGUGUUACAAAUCCUACCCCCCUUAAAAAUAAUCUCGUCCUCGAGAUUUGUAAGAAAAAAAGGAUUAUACCAAGAUUGGUUUGUAAUUGAAGUUGUAGUUUCUAAUUGAUUCAAAAAUUAAGAGUCUCUCUUUUUUUUAAAUACAAUUUAGCAAGUACUUAGAAAUGCAUGGGUAUCUUCUAGUUUAGACACACAGUUAGGUAAGAAGAGAGAUGGUCAAAGUGAGGUUAGCUGAUGGUAAGAAGAACUUGGUAAGGGAAGACUCCAUCGAAGGUGGUAAAUCUUGAAUCAUCUCGAGAUCUGAUUUGACUCCUAUUCUUCCAUGUCGAGGUUGAUCUCCUCCUUCUUGCUCUUUGGUGUCUCCAUCUGGGUUUGGGACAAGAGGCUAAGAUAGAUCUGUUAUGUAAGUCAAGUUGUUGGGUAUGGCCUUAUCUUUUGUACCAGCAUUAAGUAACUUACUCUAGAUUAGAUCAUAAUAGAUUAGAUAAAAGCUAGAUUAGAUUGGAUAUGACUAGAUUAGACUAGUUAAAAUCUAAAUAAUUUUUUUUGGAUUAGCUUAUGGUUGUUAUUCUAGAGUGGGAUAAAUAUGCUGAUUAGGGCAAGAUGGAUCCAUAAGGAUAAGGUAGAAUCUUUUGAGGUUAGUUAGAUCUAUUAGGAUGAGAUAAAAUCUUUUCAAGAUAAGAUGAAUCCAUUAAGGUAAGAGAGUCUUUUAAGAUAAGAUGGAGCUAUUAGGUUAGAUAUAUUUUAAUUAGGAUAAUCUAGGUUGUUUAGUUAUCUUAUGAAUUUUAUUUAUUUACAUUUAUGCAUAUAUGUAUAUGUAGAUGUAAUUGUGGACAUUACUCCACAACUCAUCCCACUCAAUCAAAGAUCCAAAUCAGACAAGUAUCAUAAGAACAAACAUUCAAGCACAUAGAUACCAAAAAAAUAAUUUUGUUUUUGUUCCUAAGAGUAGGUCUCCUAUUCCUAAAGGUCACUUUAAGCACAUGAUUUCAAAGUGUGAAAUCCACAUGUGUCUUUAGAAAGAAAAGGUAAGAAUAAUCAGAGUAAGCGGAAAUAGAUGAGAAAAGAUCAAGGAAAGUUUUGGAAAGAAUCAGAGUAGCAAAGGUAAGUAAGCAUUGGUUGUCCAGUUCUAUCUAGGUUUCGUCCUACAGUCAACAUUCCUCUGAUACCACUUCUGUCACACCCGGAUUUCGGGGCACCAAGACCCGGGCGCGAACAUAAUCACCAGGUGUGCUGGGACCAAGUCUCACACAAGUGAUGAAUCAUGGCACAGGAUCGAAUGUCACAUCUUUACUAUAUAAUAGGAGUUUUGUACAAAAUAAAUAAUUACAUUAUAAGGAGACAACGGUCCAGCACCCAAAGUUGACUGGGAGACGACGACCUAGACCUCUCACAAACACAUCGCAGCAUCCUCCACGCGCCUCAUCCGGUGGUACCUGUUCUUGACCUGUGGGGGGUGUGAGACAGCAAGAGUGAGCUCACAUACGUUCAUCGCUCAACAAGUUGUGGGGAAUAAUGUGCAUGAACUCGCCA